RNAcentral lists this long non-coding RNA (205 nucleotides) under Lathyrus oleraceus (garden pea). RNAcentral's name for it is "Pisum sativum (pea) long non-coding RNA (PSAT_LNC006296)". The record is from RNAcentral. Lineage: Eukaryota; Viridiplantae; Streptophyta; Magnoliopsida; Fabales; Fabaceae.
AAAAAAAAUUAAAAAACAACAACAACACAAUAGAGGGUGAAAAAUAAUAAAGUGGGAGUGUGCAAAGAAAAGAGAGUUCAAGGUCCACUCUCUUCUAAAACCCUAAUCCAUAAUAAAUUAAAUAGAAAUAAAAGAAAAAUGAAUAAACAAUAAGAGGGAGGCGAUGUAUUUUGGAAAGAGAGAGAGCAACAUUUUUUUUAAUUUC